CCUACGGGUUGCACCAGUGGGGAAUAUUGCACAAUGGGCGCAAGCCUGAUGCAACCAUGCCGCGUGUGUGAAGAAGGCCUUCGGGUUGUAAAGCACUUUCAGCGGGGAGGAAGGCGGUGGGGUUAAUAACCUCACCGAUUGACGUUACCCGCAGAAGAAGCACCGGCUAACUCCGUGCCAGCAGCCGCGGUAAUACGGAGGGUGCAAGCGUUAAUCGGAAUUACUGGGCGUAAAGCGCACGCAGGCGGUCUGUCAAGUCGGAUGUGAAAUCCCCGGGCUCAACCUGGGAACUGCAUUCGAAACUGGCAGGCUAGAGUCUUGUAGAGGGGGGUAGAAUUCCAGGUGUGGCGGUGAAAUGCGUAGAGAUCUGGAGGAAUACCGGUGGCGAAGGCGGCCCCCUGGACAAAGACUGACGCUCAGGUGCGAAAGCGUGGGGAGCAAACAGGAUUAGAUACCCGGGUAGUC
This 465-nucleotide ribosomal RNA is filed under the name uncultured bacterium. RNAcentral describes it as "bacterial SSU rRNA". It matches the Rfam family "Bacterial small subunit ribosomal RNA", at positions 338 to 795 of the family's 1533-position model. The record is from RNAcentral.